This 879-nucleotide long non-coding RNA is filed under the name Mytilus galloprovincialis (Mediterranean mussel). Lineage: Eukaryota; Metazoa; Mollusca; Bivalvia; Mytilida; Mytilidae. The record is from RNAcentral.
GUUGGUGUAUUAUAUACACUAGUUAAUACUGAACUUAAAAUUUUCCAAUAGGUGGUUCAAUAAAAAAAUAAUUGCUGGUGAACGAUGGUACAUGGAAAUUAUAUACUUUUUCAGAUAUUGUCUCAAAUAUAGACCAAACAAGAAGCCGAUAUAUGGGUUAUGAUGGACAAGCACAUAACAGCCAUUACAUUCUGUGUAAAGCUCACAACAUAUGGUACAUUUGAAAUAUGGAUGGCUGUUUAACGCCCAGUGGCAAAUAAAAUGAAUAUUUAGGACGAGAAGAUGCUUAUGCGAUAAGAAUAUGAAUCUUGGUUUGUACUAGACCAACGUGAUAAGUCAGUUUUAUAGUCUGCUUGUUCAAUAGUUCAAAAGGCAGAAGUCCGCAGCACUACCAGGGCACAUUAUUCUGCUCUUACUCUUCAAUACCGCGUAUCGGCGGAGAAGCAGCAAGUAUCAAUUUUAAAGUAUGUCAGGUUUAACCCGGCCUGGAUUCGAAACCCCAACAUUCCGCUUUCGAGGAGAGCAUUCUUACGCGAGACCACUAACCUGGCGAUCAAAUUGAAGAUGAAAACGAACAAAUUGUUAAACGACAUACCCAGACAUUUAGAUAGCGGGUAUAAAAAAUAUAUUUAUCCGUAUCUUAACCGAGCGAAGGUUGAGAAUUAAUGAACAGUUUCGCCCGAGUCAACUUUAAUCCGAGAGUUUAUUCCUCUUUAGGUUCGUUAUCAUCUAUACUGUUUACAUUACAAGUAAAUAUCCUUUCACAAUGUUGUGUAACUACGGAUGAAGAAUCGAUUUGUGGAAUUAUAAACAUCCUACGUAUUAGAUUAGGUUUUUUACCAGGGGAAACUGUAGGUACAUAUAAAAGACUUCUUCUUA